AGACCCGAAACCCGGUGAUCUAGCCAUGGGCAGGUUGAAGGUUGGGUAACACUAACUGGAGGACCGAACCGACUAAUGUUGAAAAAUUAGCGGAUGACCUGUGGCUGGGGGUGAAAGGCCAAUCAAACCGGGAGAUAGCUGGUUCUCCCCGAAAGCUAUUUAGGUAGCGCCUCGUGAAUUCAUCUCCGGGGGUAGAGCACUGUUUCGGCUAGGGGGCCAUCCCGGCUUACCAACCCGAUGCAAACUGCGAAUACCGGAGAAUGUUAUCACGGGAGACACACGGCGGGUGCUAACGUCCGUCGUGAAGAGGGAAACAACCCAGACCGCCAGCUAAGGUCCCAAAGUCAUGGUUAAGUGGGAAACGAUGUGGGAAGGCCCAGACAGCCAGGAUGUUGGCUUAGAAGCAGCCAUCAUUUAAAGAAAGCGUAAUAGCUCACUGGUCGAGUCGGCCUGCGCGGAAGAUGUAACGGGGCUAAACCAUGCACCGAAGCUGCGGCAGCGACGCUUAUGCGUUGUUGGGUAGGGGAGCGUUCUGUAAGCCUGUGAAGGUGGCCUGUGAGGGUUGCUGGAGGUAUCAGAAGUGCGAAUGCUGACAUAAGUAACGAUAAAGCGGGUGAAAAGCCCGCUCGCCGGAAGACCAAGGGUUCCUGUCCAACGUUAAUCGGGGCAGGGUGAGUCGACCCCUAAGGCGAGGCCGAAAGGCGUAGUCGAUGGGAAACGGGUUAAUAUUCCCGUACUUGGUGUUACUGCGAAGGGGGGACGGAGAAGGCUAUGUUGGCCGGGCGACGGUUGUCCCGGUUUAAGCGUGUAGGUGUGUGUUCCAGGUAAAUCCGGUUCACUUUAACACUGAGGCGUGACGACGAGGCACUACGGUGCUGAAGCAACAAAUGCCCUGCUUCCAGGAAAAGCCUCUAAGCAUCAGGUAACAUCAAAUCGUACCCCAAACCGACACAGGUGGUCAGGUAGAGAAUACCAAGGCGCUUGAGAGAACUCGGGUGAAGGAACUAGGCAAAAUGGUGCCGUAACUUCGGGAGAAGGCACGCUGACACGUAGGUGAAGUGAUUUACUCAUGGAGCUGAAGUCAGUCGAAGAUACCAGCUGGCUGCAACUGUUUAUUAAAAACACAGCACUGUGCAAACACGAAAGUGGACGUAUACGGUGUGACGCCUGCCCGGUGCCGGAAGGUUAAUUGAUGGGGUCAGCGCAAGCGAAGCUCCUGAUCGAAGCCCCGGUAAACGGCGGCCGUAACUAUAACGGUCCUAAGGUAGCGAAAUUCCUUGUCGGGUAAGUUCCGACCUGCACGAAUGGCGUAAUGAUGGCCAGGCUGUCUCCACCCGAGACUCAGUGAAAUUGAACUCGCUGUGAAGAUGCAGUGUACCCGCGGCAAGACGGAAAGACCCCGUGAACCUUUACUAUAGCUUGACACUGAACAUUGAGCCUUGAUGUGUAGGAUAGGUG
Molecule: ribosomal RNA, 1458 nt
Filed under: Salmonella enterica subsp. enterica serovar Weltevreden
Lineage: Bacteria; Pseudomonadati; Pseudomonadota; Gammaproteobacteria; Enterobacterales; Enterobacteriaceae
Description: partial 23S ribosomal RNA
Rfam family: Bacterial large subunit ribosomal RNA
Source: RNAcentral